CUUUUUCCUCCUUUUUUUGUUUUUCUUUCUUUCUUUCUUUCUUUCUUCUUGGAAUU
Molecule: non-coding RNA, 56 nt
Filed under: Scyphosphaera apsteinii
Lineage: Eukaryota; Haptophyta; Coccosphaerales; Pontosphaeraceae
Source: RNAcentral